GUGGAUAUAGUCUAAUGGUAAAACAACUGUAUGUGGCAUAGUAUAUCCUUGUUCAAGUCAAGGUAUCCUCC
This 71-nucleotide transfer RNA is filed under the name Cyphellophora attinorum. RNAcentral describes it as "Phialophora attae tRNA". It matches the Rfam family "tRNA". From Rfam's summary of the family: Transfer RNA (tRNA) molecules are approximately 80 nucleotides in length. Their secondary structure includes four short double-helical elements and three loops (D, anti-codon, and T loops). The record is from Rfam by way of RNAcentral. Lineage: Eukaryota; Fungi; Ascomycota; Eurotiomycetes; Chaetothyriales; Cyphellophoraceae.